CAACACAAUACGGUGUUUUAUGCGGCACACCAGCCGCGUAGCAGCUAGAACCUGCAUCGGACUUCUUUAAGGAGAAAACAAAAUG
RNAcentral lists this non-coding RNA (85 nucleotides) under unclassified sequences. RNAcentral describes it as "freshwater-2 RNA". It matches the Rfam family "freshwater-2 RNA". Rfam says of the family: Aquatic, esp. fresh water. No recognized genes The record is from RNAcentral.